Molecule: microRNA precursor, 145 nt
Filed under: Gossypium barbadense (sea-island cotton)
Lineage: Eukaryota; Viridiplantae; Streptophyta; Magnoliopsida; Malvales; Malvaceae
Also listed under: 2 other names
Description: MIR7502 microRNA precursor family
Rfam family: MIR7502 microRNA precursor family
Source: Rfam by way of RNAcentral
AGUUAAAAAUUUUAUCUAUUUGUAUUGUUAAAAACUGAGUUAGCUGGCAGAAUAAUCAGAGAAUGACAUGUGGCAUGCCACGUGUAUCUCAUGUUGACGUAUAAAGAUCAAUUUUUAACAGCAAAAAGCGAUGAAAUUUUUAACA